This 253-nucleotide ribosomal RNA is filed under the name uncultured bacterium. RNAcentral's name for it is "partial 16S ribosomal RNA". It matches the Rfam family "Bacterial small subunit ribosomal RNA", at positions 524 to 776 of the family's 1533-position model. The record is from RNAcentral.
UACGUAGGGUGCGAGCGUUGCCCGGAUUUAUUGGGCGUAAAGGGCGCGUAGGCGGCGCCACAAGUCACUUGUGAAAACUCUGGGCUCAACUCAGAGCCUGCAAGCGAAACUGUGGUGCUGGAGUAUGGGAGAGGUGCGUGGAAUUCCCGGUGUAGCGGUGAAAUGCGCAGAUAUCAGGAGGAACACCAAUGGCGAAGGCAGGUCUCUGGGCCAUAACUGACGCUGAGAAGCGAAAGCAUGGGGAGCGAACAGG